GCUGGGUGUGGUGGCCUGAGCCUGUAAUCCCACCUACUCGGGAGGCUGAGGCAGGAGGACUGCUUGAGCCCAGGAGUUCUGGGCUGUAGUGUACUAUGCCCAUCAGGUGUCUGCACAAAGUUUGGCAUCAAUAUGGUGACCUCCCAGGAGCGGGGGACCACAAGGUUGCCUAAAGAGGGGUGAACAGGCCCAGGUCAGAAAUGGAGCAGGUCAAAACUCCUGUGCUGAUCAUAGUAUUUUGUACCUCAUAAUAUCCUACCCAUAUUUUGUCCCUCCCCACUUCACUCUACCCACUGGUAACCAUUACUUU
RNAcentral lists this signal recognition particle RNA (310 nucleotides) under Balaenoptera musculus (blue whale). RNAcentral describes it as "Metazoan signal recognition particle RNA (ENSBMSG00010004168.1)". It matches the Rfam family "Metazoan signal recognition particle RNA". Rfam says of the family: The signal recognition particle (SRP) is a universally conserved ribonucleoprotein. It is involved in the co-translational targeting of proteins to membranes. The eukaryotic SRP consists of a 300-nucleotide 7S RNA and six proteins: SRPs 72, 68, 54, 19, 14, and 9. The record is from RNAcentral. Lineage: Eukaryota; Metazoa; Chordata; Mammalia; Artiodactyla; Balaenopteridae.